This 429-nucleotide ribosomal RNA is filed under the name Chloroflexota bacterium. RNAcentral describes it as "Chloroflexi bacterium partial 16S ribosomal RNA". It matches the Rfam family "Bacterial small subunit ribosomal RNA", at positions 355 to 776 of the family's 1533-position model. The record is from RNAcentral. Lineage: Bacteria; Bacillati; Chloroflexota.
UGGGGAAUAUUGCACAAUGGGCGCAAGCCUGAUGCAGCCAUGCCGCGUGUGUGAAGAAGGCCUUCGGGUUGUAAAGCACUUUCAGCGGGGAGGAAGGCGUUAAGGUUAAUAACCUUGGCGAUUGACGUUACCCGCAGAAGUAGCACCGGCUAACUCCGUGCCAGCAGCCGCGGUAAUACGGAGGGUGCAAGCGUUAAUCGGAAUUACUGGGCGUAAAGCGCACGCAGGCGGUCUGUCAAGUCGGAUGUGAAAUCCCCGGGCUCAACCUGGGAACUGCAUUCGAAACUGGCAGGCUAGAGUCUUGUAGAGGGGGGUAGAAUUCCAGGUGUAGCGGUGAAAUGCGUAGAGAUCUGGAGGAAUACCGGUGGCGAAGGCGGCCCCCUGGACAAAGACUGACGCUCAGGUGCGAAAGCGUGGGGAGCAAACAGG